Molecule: ribosomal RNA, 443 nt
Filed under: uncultured bacterium
Lineage: Bacteria
Description: partial 16S ribosomal RNA
Rfam family: Bacterial small subunit ribosomal RNA
Source: RNAcentral
CCUACGGGCGGCAGCAGUGGGGAAUAUUUGGCAAUGGGCGCAAGCCUGACCCAGCAACGCCGCGUGCAGGAAGAAGGUUUUCGGGUUGUAAACUUCUUUUCUCAGGGACGAAUCAAGUGACGGUACCUGAGGAAUAAGCCACGGCUAACUACAUGCCAGCAGCCGCGGUAAUACGUAGGUGGCAAGCGUUAUCGGGAUUUACUGGGUGUAAAGGGCGUGUAUGCGGGGACGCAAGUCAGAUGUGAAAACCACGGGCUCAACCUGUGGCCUGCAUUUUAAACUGUGUUUCUUGAGUACUGGAGAGGCAGACGGAAUUUCUAGUGUAGCGGUGAAAUGCGUAGAUAUUAGGAGGAACACCAGUGGCGAAGGCGGUCUGCUGGACAGCAACUGACGCUGAGGCGCGAAAGCGUGGGGAGCAAACAGGAUUAGAUACCCCAGUAGUC